GUAAAUAUAGUUUAAACAAAACAUUAGAUUGUGAAUCUAAUAAUAGAGUCUUACACCCUCUUAUUUACC
This 69-nucleotide transfer RNA is filed under the name Tamias striatus (eastern chipmunk). RNAcentral describes it as "tRNA-His". It matches the Rfam family "tRNA". From Rfam's summary of the family: Transfer RNA (tRNA) molecules are approximately 80 nucleotides in length. Their secondary structure includes four short double-helical elements and three loops (D, anti-codon, and T loops). Lineage: Eukaryota; Metazoa; Chordata; Mammalia; Rodentia; Sciuridae. The record is from RNAcentral.